RNAcentral lists this non-coding RNA (27 nucleotides) under Mus musculus (house mouse). The record is from RNAcentral. Lineage: Eukaryota; Metazoa; Chordata; Mammalia; Rodentia; Muridae. RNAcentral also lists the same sequence under 1 other name.
UAGGAUGUGAGAAGGCUCAAGACACCC